This is an RNA transcript of Melospiza melodia melodia, 1618 nucleotides long. It is a transcript of the gene named aspartyl aminopeptidase, with no coding region annotated. The transcript is spliced from 14 exons. The record is from RefSeq and is a predicted model, not a curated record. NCBI's taxonomy places the organism in Eukaryota, Metazoa, Chordata, Aves, Passeriformes, Passerellidae.
UCGGGCCGGCGCGGGGCGGUGGCGGCCAUGCAGGCGGCGGCGCAGGGCUCGAAGGCGGCGGCGCAGGAACUGGUGAAGUUCGUGAACCGCAGUCCGUCUCCGUACCACGUGGUGGCCGAAUGCCGCAGCCGGCUACUGCAGGCCGGCUUCCAGGAGCUGAAGGAGACGGAGCACUGGGACGUGCUGCCGGCGCAGAAGUACUUCAUCACCAGGAACUACUCCACCCUCAUCGCCUUUGCCGUCGGCGGCCAGUUCCAGCCCGGGAAUGGGUUCAGCCUGCUAGGAGCCCACACCGACAGCCCCUGCCUCAGGGUGAAGCGUCGCUCAAAGCGGGGACAGGUGGGCAUAGUGCAAGUCGGAGUGGAGACCUAUGGAGGGGGCAUCUGGAACACCUGGUUCGACCGUGACCUCACCGUGGCCGGGAGGGUGAUCAUAAAGGACCAAGCCACGGGGCGCCUGGAGCAGCGCCUGGUACGUGUGGAGCGGCCCAUCCUCCGCAUUCCUCACCUGGCCAUCCAUCUGCAGCGCAGCAUCAAUGAGAGCUUUGGGCCCAACACCGAGCACCACCUGGUUCCCAUUCUGGCCACUGCAGUGCAGGAGGAGCUGGAAAAGGAGGUGCUUAUGGAGUCCACACCUUGCAGUGCUGCGUCCCAGACAGAGCGGCACAGCCCUGUUCUGCUUUCCCUGAUCUGCCCCCAGCUGGGGGUGAAACCAGAGCAGAUUGUGGAGAUGGAGCUAUGCCUGGCAGAUACACAGCCAGCGACGCUGGGUGGUGCCUUCGAUGAGUUCAUCUUCUCCCCACGUCUGGACAACCUGCACAGCUGCUACUGCGCCUUGCAGGCCUUGAUUGACUCGUGUGCAGCACCCUCGUCCCUCUCCGAGGAGCCCAAUGUGCGUCUCAUCGCGCUCUAUGACAACGAGGAGGUAGGGUCAGAGAGUGCACAGGGUGCAGAGUCCUUGCUAACGGAGCUGGUGCUGCGCCGGAUCUCUGCGUCGCCGCACAACCUGACAGCCUUCGAGGAGGCAGUGGCCAAGUCCUACAUGAUCAGUGCUGAUAUGGCCCAUGCUGUGCACCCCAAUUAUGUGGACAAGCAUGAGGAGAAUCAUCGUCCAGCCUUCCACAAGGGCCCUGUCAUCAAGGUGAACAGCAACCAGCGCUACGCCUCCACAGCUGUCACUGAAGCUGUGAUCCGGGACAUUGCUGCCCGCGUGGGUGUCCCUCUGCAGGUGAGCCGGACUGGGUGAGCCCUCCUUGAACAUCAGGAGUUUGGGCUGCAGCCCUGCCCCUGGGUUCAUCAGAGGGGGCCUGUGCCCAAGCUCCACCCCUGUUACCAUGUCUGACCCCACUGGGGUCUCUGUGCUGCCUGUUGCUGUGAGGCUCCAGCCCCAGGACUGCCUCAGGGAGCAGGCUGGUGAGCAGAAUGGAGCCUGGCCUGAGCGUGUCCUAUCUCUGGAGCGUUCUUUGAACCCUGGCAUGGGAGUUCAUGGUGCGCAACGACACACCCUGCGGCACCACCAUCGGCCCCAUCCUGGCCUCCCGCCUGGGGCUGCGUGUGCUGGACAUUGGCUGCCCCCAGCUGGCCAUGCACUCCAUCCGGGAGAUGUGCUGCACCUCGGG